Molecule: ribosomal RNA, 510 nt
Filed under: Hepatozoon canis
Lineage: Eukaryota; Apicomplexa; Hepatozoidae
Description: SSU rRNA
Rfam family: Eukaryotic small subunit ribosomal RNA
Source: RNAcentral
CAUUUAUUAGAUAAAAAGCCAAUGCAUGCUUUUACAGUAUGAAAAUUGGUGAUUUAUAAUAACUUAGCAAAUCGCAAAGUGAAAACAGGCGAUAAAUCAUUCAAGUUUCUGACCUAUCAGCUUUCGACGGUAUGGUAUUGGCUUACCGUGGCAGUGACGGUUAACGGGGGAUUAGGGUUCGAUUCCGGAGAGGGAGCCUGAGAAACGGCUACCACAUCUAAGGAAGGCAGCAGGCGCGCAAAUUACCCAAUUCUAACAGUUUGAGAGAGGUAGUAACAAGAAAUAACAAUACAAGGCAGUUAAAAUGCUUUGUAAUUGGAAUGAUAGAAAUUUAAACCCUUUUUAAAGUAUCAAUUGGAGGGCAAGUCUGGUGCCAGCAGCCGCGGUAAUUCCAGCUCCAAUAGCGUAUAUUAAAAUUGUUGCAGUUAAAAAGCUCGUAGUUGAAGUUCUGCUAAAAGUAACCGGUCUGCUUUUAAUAAAGGUGGUAUCUUGGUGUGUAUUUAGCAAUGA